CAGAGCGUAGCUAAGACAGAAUAAGCAUCUCCCUUACACCGAGAAGUCACCUGUGCAAAUCAGGUCGUGCUGA
This 73-nucleotide transfer RNA is filed under the name Gambusia wrayi (Wray's gambusia). RNAcentral's name for it is "tRNA-Val". It matches the Rfam family "tRNA". Rfam says of the family: Transfer RNA (tRNA) molecules are approximately 80 nucleotides in length. Their secondary structure includes four short double-helical elements and three loops (D, anti-codon, and T loops). Further hydrogen bonds mediate the characteristic L-shaped molecular structure. tRNAs have two regions of fundamental functional importance: the anti-codon, which is responsible for specific mRNA codon recognition, and the 3' end, to which the tRNAs corresponding amino acid is attached (by aminoacyl-tRNA synthetases). tRNAs cope with the degeneracy of the genetic code in two manners: having more than one tRNA (with a specific anti-codon) for a particular amino acid; and 'wobble' base-pairing, i.e. permitting non-standard base-pairing at the 3rd anti-codon position. The record is from RNAcentral. Lineage: Eukaryota; Metazoa; Chordata; Actinopteri; Cyprinodontiformes; Poeciliidae.